GCUGACAGCUGUGUGGGCAUUGGUGCCAGCGACAGGGCCACUGUGGAAACUAUUGAAGCUUUUUCUUUCAGGUCACUUCUAGAAAGUCACUGAAGAAGAAGGAUCUUUUUCCAAACCACAAAACUGAGUCAGACAACAUGUACCCAGCAUGAAGUAUGGACUACUACCACCGAUUUCUGCUUCAGGCACUAAGCAAAGCUGGGUGUCUUGUGAAGGACUUUCUCACUUCCGUGACUGCGCCAGCAAGUCGGCUAUGACAAACUUCAAGAAGUGACUCCUCAAAAGGGAUUUCCCUAAAGAUGGAGGAAGAGCUCCACAACUAGGACAACACCGUGUUCCAAGCAGGCACAGCCGCUCAGAGACAUUUAUGGAUGAGCCAUAAAUGGAAUUGAAUGCUAUCUCCACUCCAAUUUUUCUUCCUCCUCAUACUCCAGCACACAAAAAAACUAUUGUAGAAGGCAGCUGUGGAGGUUGCCAGAAAGCCAGCAAAGCCGUAUUAACGACAUGACCCUUUAUGAUACACGUUUAUUUAUAUUCAGUGAAGUAGGUUACUGACAAUUUGGCCAUUAAUUUGCUGUUUAUAAAUCGUAUUUUCCUUGUGUAGUAACCACAAGACUUUGACAUUCACAGUUGUGCUGAAAGAAACAAGUUUAUUAAAGAAGGCGAAGGAGGGAGAAAAGAUCAGUCCUUUAAAGUUCACCAAAUUGCACAUGUCAACCACUAAGUAAGAUUCUGGACUUGAAAAACAGCAACACGCCUAGUGAGGGGGGAAAGAGAAGGGAACGCGCUGCGGGUAUUCAAUUCUCGUGUAGAAAGGGAAUCAGACGGCCAAAAAAAGUCUAAGUACUCCAGCCCUUAAAGAAAUAUAAUCCGGAGUUUAUAUCAGAUGGUUUAUGGGAGUUUAUUG
Molecule: long non-coding RNA, 907 nt
Organism: Mustela putorius furo (domestic ferret)
Lineage: Eukaryota; Metazoa; Chordata; Mammalia; Carnivora; Mustelidae
Source: Ensembl